GGCCUAGUGGCUCAGUUGGUUAGAGCGCCGCCCUGUCACGGCGGAGGUCAUGGGUUCAAGUCCCAUCUAGGUCG
RNAcentral lists this transfer RNA (74 nucleotides) under Acetitomaculum ruminis DSM 5522. It matches the Rfam family "tRNA". Rfam says of the family: Transfer RNA (tRNA) molecules are approximately 80 nucleotides in length. Their secondary structure includes four short double-helical elements and three loops (D, anti-codon, and T loops). The record is from Rfam by way of RNAcentral. Lineage: Bacteria; Bacillati; Bacillota; Clostridia; Lachnospirales; Lachnospiraceae.